AACGUAGGACACAAGCGUUAUCCGGAGUUACUGGGCGUAAAGGGCGUGUAGGCGGACGUGUAAGUCUAUUCUGAAAGCUCCUGGCUAAACUGGGAGAGGCGAAUGGAGACUGCAUAUCUAGAGUGCGGUAGAGGUAGCCGGAAUUCCCGGUGUAGCGGUGAAAUGCGUAGAUAUCGGGAGGAAUACCUAUGGCGAAAGCAGGCUACUGGACCGUCACUGACUCUGAUCUGCGAAAGCUAGGGGAGCAAACAGG
RNAcentral lists this ribosomal RNA (253 nucleotides) under uncultured bacterium. Its description in RNAcentral is "partial 16S ribosomal RNA". It matches the Rfam family "Bacterial small subunit ribosomal RNA", at positions 524 to 776 of the family's 1533-position model. The record is from RNAcentral.